Molecule: ribosomal RNA, 564 nt
Filed under: uncultured Glomeromycotina
Lineage: Eukaryota; Fungi; Glomeromycota
Description: SSU rRNA
Rfam family: Eukaryotic small subunit ribosomal RNA
Source: RNAcentral
UUGGAGGGCAAGUCUGGUGCCAGCAGCCGCGGUAAUUCCAGCUCCAAUAGCGUAUAUUAAAGUUGUUGCAGUUAAAAAGCUCGUAGUUGAAUUUCGGGAUCAGAGUGUCGGUCGUGCCUCGGUACACACUGGUAUUAUUGGUUCCUACCUUCUGAAGAACCGCGAUGUCAUUAAUUUGGUGUCGUGGGGAAUCAGGACUGUUACUUUGAAAAAAUUAGAGUGUUUAAAGCAGGCUUACGCUUGAAUACAUUAGCAUGGAAUAAUGAAAUAGGACGUUUGAUUCUAUUUUGUUGGUUUCUAGGAUUGACGUAAUGAUUAAUAGGGAUAGUUGGGGGCAUUAGUAUUCAAUUGUCAGAGGUGAAAUUCUUGGAUUUAUUGAAGACUAACUACUGCGAAAGCAUUUGCCAAGGAUGUUUUCAUUAAUCAAGAACGAAAGUUAGGGGAUCGAAGACGAUCAGAUACCGUCGUAGUCUUAACCAUAAACUAUGCCGACUAGGGAUCGGAUGAUGUUAAUUUUUUAAUGACUCAUUCGGCGCCUUACGGGAAACCAAAGUGUUUGGGUUC